Molecule: ribosomal RNA, 393 nt
Filed under: Triticum aestivum (bread wheat)
Lineage: Eukaryota; Viridiplantae; Streptophyta; Magnoliopsida; Poales; Poaceae
Description: partial small subunit ribosomal RNA
Source: RNAcentral
AUGAAUGGUUACCACGCUAUCCUAGAGCCUGUUCGGCAACACUCCACUCCUCUAAUUUCUCAACUCCACUCCUUACUUCUCAACUCCCAACUCUACUUGCAAAUUUUAGAAUUUUGCAAAACGUUCGGCAGCCAACUCCAGCUCUUCGACGUGUGCGCAUGUAGGAAGGGAAUCGGGGGGCAAGCGGGUAGGAUGAGAGAUUUGUGGGGUUCUGUUUCCUGUUUUUUCUCUCGAACUGGUAAGUGGCUGGUAAAAAUUGGUAUGAGGCAUCGAGACGGAGCGCGCGGAGUGUCACUUUCCCGACUCCAGCGAUUUGUACUACGGGCCGCUCCGCUCCGGAUUAUGAAAUCUACGGAGUUGACGCGUUCGGUGCGGCUCCGCCGGCUCCCGUAG